AUUGAACGCUGGCGGCAGGCCUAACACAUGCAAGUCGAGCGGAUGAAGGGAGCUUGCUCCUGGAUUCAGCGGCGGACGGGUGAGUAAUGCCUAGGAAUCUGCCUGGUAGUGGGGGAUAACGUCCGGAAACGGGCGCUAAUACCGCAUACGUCCUGAGGGAGAAAGUGGGGGAUCUUCGGACCUCACGCUAUCAGAUGAGCCUAGGUCGGAUUAGCUAGUUGUUGGGGUAAAGGCCUACCAAGGCGACGAUCCGUAACUGGUCUGAGAGGAUGAUCAGUCACACUGGAACUGAGACACGGUCCAGACUCCUACGGGAGGCAGCAGUGGGGAAUAUUGGACAAUGGGCGAAAGCCUGAUCCAGCCAUGCCGCGUGUGUGAAGAAGGUCUUCGGAUUGUAAAGCACUCUAAGUUGGGAGGAAGGGCAGUAAGUUAAUACCUUGCUGUUUUGACGUUACCAACAGAAUAAGCACCGGCUAACUUCGUG
RNAcentral lists this ribosomal RNA (484 nucleotides) under uncultured bacterium. RNAcentral describes it as "partial 16S ribosomal RNA". It matches the Rfam family "Bacterial small subunit ribosomal RNA", at positions 30 to 507 of the family's 1533-position model. The record is from RNAcentral.